Molecule: long non-coding RNA, 847 nt
Filed under: Capra hircus (goat)
Lineage: Eukaryota; Metazoa; Chordata; Mammalia; Artiodactyla; Bovidae
Description: lncRNA (ENSCHIG00010020998.1)
Source: RNAcentral
GGCAGAAACCUGCAGGGGGAUCCUUCGCGUUUGUAAACACCCGCACACCCUACACGCUCCCAAAGAACCAGUUCCGGGGAAGACAGAUUUUGCACAGAGGAGGCUGAUUCGGGCAGUACCGUGAGGGAUGGGGAGCGGCAGGUUCUGUGCGCCUGGCGCAGUCAGGAGCUGCGGCUCACUCCCUCGACCAGGCUGGGGAGGCACCGCGGCCGGCCCAGGGACUCCGAGCACCCACAGCUCGGCUGCUGUCAUGGUGGCGGGACACCCACGUCCACAGCUGCGCUCAGGAGCCUGUCCACGAGCAUCCUGGGGGCACCCCAGGCACGUGCGACUCACAGGACAUCCUGCAGUCAUCUCAGGAGACACCCCACCUGACACGGCUAAGGAUUUAAAUUCCAACCCUCACCCCACCAGGUCAAGGACCACGCUGGCUGGCCCCUGCUCCCUGCUAAGCCCAAGAGUGCUUGAGGGUGGGAUUGGGGUGUUAAUCUUGAAGCGAGGCAGCCAGGCGGGCCGACGUGGGCAGGGGGGGCAGCCUUGGUUCCCAGCCCAGGCCAGCACCCUCCGAGGCCCAGGCUGCAGACUCACCCUGUCCGUUUCAAAGCCUUCAGGGCUGGGGGCUGGAUCCAGCCGCCAGCGGGGCCUUGUCUGCCUGAGGGUGCGGCUCCCUAGAUGGGUUCCUGCAGCAGUGCCCUGCAGGUCAACUAGGACGCGCCCCGUAUCCGUCUGCCAGUGGCGUGGAGGGGGAAGACUCAGGCCGGCCAGGGCUGNNNNNNNNNNNNNNNNNNNNNNNNNNNNNNNNNNCCACGGAGCACCGGCCCCCAGAUCUCGCCACCCACUUCCCUGA